RNAcentral lists this ribosomal RNA (773 nucleotides) under Rhodococcus sp. (in: high G+C Gram-positive bacteria). Its description in RNAcentral is "bacterial SSU rRNA". It matches the Rfam family "Bacterial small subunit ribosomal RNA", at positions 25 to 815 of the family's 1533-position model. The record is from RNAcentral. Lineage: Bacteria; Bacillati; Actinomycetota; Actinomycetes; Mycobacteriales; Nocardiaceae.
CAGGACGAACGCUGGCGGCGUGCUUAACACAUGCAAGUCGAGCGGUAAGGCCUUUCGGGGUACACGAGCGGCGAACGGGUGAGUAACACGUGGGUGAUCUGCCCUGCACUUCGGGAUAAGCCUGGGAAACUGGGUCUAAUACCGGAUAUGACCUCCUAUCGCAUGGUGGGUGGUGGAAAGAUUUAUCGGUGCAGGAUGGGCCCGCGGCCUAUCAGCUUGUUGGUGGGGUAAUGGCCUACCAAGGCGACGACGGGUAGCCGACCUGAGAGGGUGACCGGCCACACUGGGACUGAGACACGGCCCAGACUCCUACGGGAGGCAGCAGUGGGGAAUAUUGCACAAUGGGCGAAAGCCUGAUGCAGCGACGCCGCGUGAGGGAUGACGGCCUUCGGGUUGUAAACCUCUUUCAGCAGGGACGAAGCGCAAGUGACGGUACCUGCAGAAGAAGCACCGGCUAACUACGUGCCAGCAGCCGCGGUAAUACGUAGGGUGCAAGCGUUGUCCGGAAUUACUGGGCGUAAAGAGUUCGUAGGCGGUUUGUCGCGUCGUUUGUGAAAACCAGCAGCUCAACUGCUGGCUUGCAGGCGAUACGGGCAGACUUGAGUACUGCAGGGGAGACUGGAAUUCCUGGUGUAGCGGUGAAAUGCGCAGAUAUCAGGAGGAACACCGGUGGCGAAGGCGGGUCUCUGGGCAGUAACUGACGCUGAGGAACGAAAGCGUGGGUAGCGAACAGGAUUAGAUACCCUGGUAGUCCACGCCGUAAACGGUGGGCG